AUACGUAGGGAGCGAGCGUUGUCCGGAAUUACUGGGUGUAAAGGGAGCGUAGGCGGGAGUGCAAGUCAGAUGUGAAAUACAUGGGCUCAAUCCAUGGGCUGCAUUUGAAACUGCAUUUCUUGAGUGAAGUAGAGGUAAGCGGAAUUCCUGGUGUAGCGGUGAAAUGCGUAGAUAUCAGGAGGAACACCGGUGGCGAAGGCGGCUUACUGGGCUUUUACUGACGCUGAGGCUCGAAAGCGUGGGGAGCAAACAGGAUUAGAUACCCUGGUAGUCCACGCUGUAAACGAUGAAUACUAGGUGUGGGGGGACUGACCCCCUCCGUGCCGCAGUUAACACAAUAAGUAUUCCACCUGGGGAGUACGAUCGCAAGAUUGAAACUCAAAGGAAUUGACGGGG
Molecule: ribosomal RNA, 396 nt
Filed under: uncultured bacterium
Lineage: Bacteria
Description: partial 16S ribosomal RNA
Rfam family: Bacterial small subunit ribosomal RNA
Source: RNAcentral